Molecule: microRNA precursor, 124 nt
Filed under: Hordeum vulgare
Lineage: Eukaryota; Viridiplantae; Streptophyta; Magnoliopsida; Poales; Poaceae
Description: microRNA MIR1122
Rfam family: MIR1120/MIR1122 microRNA precursor family
Source: RNAcentral
CACAUACUCCCUUCGUCCGGAAAUACUUGUCCUAGAGAUGAAUGUAUCUAAACUUAUUUUAGUUAUAGAUACAUUCAUUAUAUUCAUUUUUAGGACAAGUAUUUCCGGACGGAGGGAGUAUUUC